RNAcentral lists this small RNA (28 nucleotides) under Bombyx mori (domestic silkworm). RNAcentral describes it as "ovarian small RNA-37667". The record is from RNAcentral. Lineage: Eukaryota; Metazoa; Arthropoda; Insecta; Lepidoptera; Bombycidae.
UUGACAGUGAUAGUGACAGCAGUGAAGA